GAUGAACGCUGGCGGCGUGCCUAAUACAUGCAAGUCGAGCGAACGGACGAGAAGCUUGCUUCUCUGAUGUUAGCGGCGGACGGGUGAGUAACGCGUGGAUAACCUACCUAUAAGACUGGGAUAACUUCGGGAAACCGGAGCUAAUACCGGAUAAUAUUUUGAACCGCAUGGUUCAAAAGUGAAAGACGGUCUUGCUGUCACUUAUAGAUGGAUCCGCGCUGCAUUAGCUAGUUGGUAAGGUAACGGCUUACCAAGGCAACGAUGCAUAGCCGACCUGAGAGGGUGGUCGGCCACACUGGAACUGAGACACGGUCCAGACUCCUACGGGAGGCAGCAGUAGGGAAUCUUCCGCAAUGGGCGAAAGCCUGACGGAGCAACGCCGCGUGAGUGAUGAAGGUCUUCGGAUCGUAAAACUCUGUUAUUAGGGAAGAACAUAUGUGUAAGUAACUGUGCACAUCUUGACGGUACCUAAUCAGAAAGCCACGGCUAACUACGUGCCAGCAGCCGCGGUAAUACGUAGGUGGCAAGCGUUAUCCGGAAUUAUUGGGCGUAAAGCGCGCGUAGGCGGUUUUUUAAGUCUGAUGUGAAAGCCCACGGCUCAACCGUGGAGGGUCAUUGGAAACUGGAAAACUUGAGUGCAGAAGAGGAAAGUGGAAUUCCAUGUGUAGCGGUGAAAUGCGCAGAGAUAUGGAGGAACACCAGUGGCGAAGGCGACUUUCUGGUCUGUAACUGACGCUGAUGUGCGAAAGCGUGGGGAUCAAACAGGAUUAGAUACCCUGGUAGUCCACGCCGUAAACGAUGAGUGCUAAGUGUUAGGGGGUUUCCGCCCCUUAGUGCUGCAGCUAACGCAUUAAGCACUCCGCCUGGGGAGUACGACCGCAAGGUUGAAACUCAAAGGAAUUGACGGGGACCCGCACAAGCGGUGGAGCAUGUGGUUUAAUUCGAAGCAACGCGAAGAACCUUACCGAAUCUUGACAUCCUUUGACAACUCUAGAGAUAGAGCUUUCCCCUUCGGGGGACAAAGUGACAGGUGGUGCAUGGUUGUCGUCAGCUCGUGUCGUGAGAUGUUGGGUUAAGUCCCGCAACGAGCGCAACCCUUAAGCUUAGUUGCCAUCAUUAAGUUGGGCACUCUAAGUUGACUGCCGGUGACAAACCGGAGGAAGGUGGGGAUGACGUCAAAUCAUCAUGCCCCUUAUGAUUUGGGCUACACACGUGCUACAAUGGACAAUACAAAGGGCAGCGAAACCGUGAGGUCAAGCAAAUCCCAUAAAGUUGUUCUCAGUUCGGAUUGUAGUCUGCAACUCGACUACAUGAAGCUGGAAUCGCUAGUAAUCGUAGAUCAGCAUGCUACGGUGAAUACGUUCCCGGGUCU
Molecule: ribosomal RNA, 1372 nt
Filed under: uncultured bacterium
Lineage: Bacteria
Description: bacterial SSU rRNA
Rfam family: Bacterial small subunit ribosomal RNA
Source: RNAcentral